This 200-nucleotide unclassified non-coding RNA is filed under the name soil metagenome. RNAcentral's name for it is "partial contains internal transcribed spacer 2 and large subunit ribosomal RNA". The record is from RNAcentral.
GUUCGAGCGUCAUUACAACCCUCAAGCUCUGCUUGGUAUUGGGCGUCACCUUUUAUUGUGCGCCUCAAAAUCAGUGGCGGUGCCACCUGGCUCCUAGCGUAGUAAAACUUUCUCGCUACAGAGCUGUGGUGUUUGCUUGCCAGCAACCCUUAUUUUUAUAGGUUGACCUCGGAUCAGGUAGGGAUACCCGCUGAACUUAA